AGUGAACGCUGGCGGUAGGCCUAACACAUGCAAGUCGAACGGCAGCACAGUAAGAGCUUGCUCUUACGGGUGGCGAGUGGCGGACGGGUGAGGAAUACAUCGGAAUCUACUUUUUCGUGGGGGAUAACGUAGGGAAACUUACGCUAAUACCGCAUACGACCUACGGGUGAAAGCAGGGGAUCUUCGGACCUUGCGCGAUUGAAUGAGCCGAUGUCGGAUUAGCUAGUUGGCGGGGUAAAGGCCCACCAAGUCGACGAUACGUAGCUGGUCUGAGAGGAUGAUCAGCGACACUGGAACUGAGACACGGUCCAGACUCCUACGGGAGGCAGCAGUGGGGAAUAUUGGACAAUGGGCGCAAGCCUGAUCCAGCCAUACCGCGUGGGUGAAGAAGGCCUUCGGGUUGUAAAGCCCUUUUGUUGGGAAAGAAAAGCAGCAGGUUAAUACCCCGCUGUUCUGACGGUACCCAAAGAAUAAGCACCGGCUAACUUCGUG
This 492-nucleotide ribosomal RNA is filed under the name uncultured bacterium. RNAcentral describes it as "partial 16S ribosomal RNA". It matches the Rfam family "Bacterial small subunit ribosomal RNA", at positions 29 to 507 of the family's 1533-position model. The record is from RNAcentral.